This 253-nucleotide ribosomal RNA is filed under the name uncultured bacterium. Its description in RNAcentral is "partial 16S ribosomal RNA". It matches the Rfam family "Bacterial small subunit ribosomal RNA", at positions 524 to 776 of the family's 1533-position model. The record is from RNAcentral.
UACGUAGGGUGCGAGCGUUAAUCGGAAUUACUGGGUUUAAAGGGUCCGUAGGCGGUUUGGUAAGUCAGUGGUGAAAGCCCAUCGCUCAACGGUGGAACGGCCAUUGAUACUGCUAGACUUGAAUUAUUAGGAAGUAACUAGAAUAUGUAGUGUAGCGGUGAAAUGCUUAGAGAUUACAUGGAAUACCAAUUGCGAAGGCAGGUUACUACUAAUUGAUUGACGCUGAUGGACGAAAGCGUGGGUAGCGAACAGG